Molecule: non-coding RNA, 1220 nt
Organism: Manis javanica (Malayan pangolin)
Lineage: Eukaryota; Metazoa; Chordata; Mammalia; Pholidota; Manidae
Source: RefSeq, a predicted model, not a curated record
GUGACAGGCAGCGGGCAAAGUUUAAUCCAGUUCUUUGAUGUGGACAAGGAAGGCUGGGGAAGGCUGUGUGUGUGUGCUCAGGGGCCACCGGCUGGCUCACAAGGAGAAAUUCCAGGCACGCUUUGCGGGGUGCAGCCCCAUCCCAUGCUUAAAUCCUCAAAAUAACACCACGUGUGUUCACUGGAGGACACAAAGGCUCCAAGAACCCUUCUUCAGACGGCGGGUCGCUCUGGAGGCAGUGAGGAGGGCCGCUCUGCCCAGCCCGCAUCUUCUGGUCACCUGAGGACAAAGGCGUUAAGAUUCCCGGUUAGGCAGGGAUGCCUCUCAGCCACCCCCUCCUAAGGCCUCCAGGAAUUUUACAGUGUCAAGCGCAUCAGUGCCCUGGGCAGGUGUAAGGCUUAGUCACCCCAUAAAAUGAAGGGGGCACUUAAUCACCAAGAGGGCAAGCACUAGCCCCUGGUCACAUGGUGAGUGGGAGCCAGGACUCUGAACCUCAUUUGUUUAUUUCCCCAUGAGGGAAAACAGGUUCAGGGAGGCGACGGGGCUCACCCAUCCCGCGAGUCUAGCUUCUGGAAAGGACAGAGAUUUAGGAAGAGGGACCCGGAGCCCUGCCCUACGAACGCACUGCCUGCUGCUCUCCAGCCAGGGCCCCUUGGGUUCACACAGGCCAGCAGCAGUUCACUGUGACCCCACACCCAGCACCAUUUCCUACCUGGUCCGGACAGUCCAGCCCAGCAUCCCAGAGGUGAUAGCUGCAAUGGAGCCUGGCACUGGAACCAGUCCGACGUCUGGGUCAGUGGGAACGAGAAGUUGGCAGGCUGCCCGUGGUUCGGUCUCUGCUGCAUGUGCACGUGCCCAUCCUUUCUAACCAGGCUGUAGGUGAUGGGUGGGCUGCCCAAGGAUGCCUGGCAGGAAAUCUCUACCCUGGGGCCUGCUCCUCUGUCCAGGAGAGUGAAGUCAGCCUGCAGCUGGGACACAGGGUCUGACAGGGUGCGAGAAGGGAACACACGCAUGGCUGGGAGACCCUCUCCCCAGCAAGUUCCCCUUGUUACAAAAUGACAAAUGGGCCUGGAGGCCUGUGAUUGCCACUUCCUCCAGAGAAGCAACCAAGACCCAGAGAGGUUGAGUGACUUGCCCAAGACCACACAGCCUCCAGACCCUGGGCUCUCCUCCCCUAGGCUGUCUUUUCUCAGGGGUGGGUCCAGGGGGUCAUGUCCUAC